Molecule: ribosomal RNA, 468 nt
Filed under: uncultured bacterium
Lineage: Bacteria
Description: partial 16S ribosomal RNA
Rfam family: Bacterial small subunit ribosomal RNA
Source: RNAcentral
GACGAACGCUGGCGGCGUGCUUAACACAUGCAAGUCGAACGGAAAGGCCCUGCUUUUGUGGGGUGCUCGAGUGGCGAACGGGUGAGUAACACGUGAGUAACCUGCCCUUGACUUUGGGAUAACUUCAGGAAACUGGGGCUAAUACCGGAUAGGAGCUCCUGCUGCAUGGUGGGGGUUGGAAAGUUUCGGCGGUUGGGGAUGGACUCGCGGCUUAUCAGCUUGUUGGUGGGGUAGUGGCUUACCAAGGCUUUGACGGGUAGCCGGCCUGAGAGGGUGACCGGCCACAUUGGGACUGAGAUCCGGCCCGGACUCCUACGGGAGGCAGCAGUGGGGAAUAUUGAACAAUGGGCGGAGGCCUGAUGCAGCAACGCCGCGUGCGGGAUGACGGCCUUCGGGUUUUAACCCGCUUUCGCCUGUGACGAAGCGUGAGUGACGGUAAUGGGUAAAGAAGCACCGGCUAACUACGUG